Molecule: long non-coding RNA, 763 nt
Organism: Helianthus annuus (common sunflower)
Lineage: Eukaryota; Viridiplantae; Streptophyta; Magnoliopsida; Asterales; Asteraceae
Exons: 4
Source: RefSeq, a predicted model, not a curated record
AUAGCCAACUCUUCACUAUCUUACUUUAUGGCUAUAACUGCCAUGGUGGUGAUUACAAUGCGCUUCAUUUCUCAUCUUCCUACUCUCUCUAUCUACUUCUCUCUCUGCUAAAUCUUAACCUUGUUACUUUUCUCCGGUUCAUCCAGAUUAGCAAUCGCAAAACAGAGGCUCGGAGAACAAUGCAGGACCUGAAAAUGCUAGAGAACAUGAUAGCAGUGAGGUUCGUGCACCUUUACUGGAAAAUGGAUGUUCUUUAUGGUGCUCCAACGCUCUCUGGGUAUGUAUAGUUUCUCAUAUUCGCUUCCAUUGCCUUUUGUAAUAAUUAGAAGCUUCUGAGCAGUCAAUAGCGGUGGGAUAGCGGUUAUCGAGCCUUCCAAAAUAGCGUAAACUGGCCAUUCCAUCUUUAUCUAGAGUAAACUGGACAUUCCAUCGCAGACCUGUUGCCCCGGCCGGAAAAUCCCCCCGCUGAUUCGCUGGCGACCAGUGCUGUUGCUUGCUCCUCUCGGUCAAACAAGUGUUGCCAAAUACCAAGAAGCAAAUCAUGGAGUAUAUACUGUUGUCACAUUCCCUUUCCUGUUUGCUGUGAUGUUUGGUAAUUAGGGGCAUGGUAUAUGUAUCCUGCUGGCAUAUUUCUCAAGUCAGAAGCUUGGAGACGGUACCGAGUAGUAAACCAUUGGGUAGACCAGUAAUCCGGAACGGGAUCGUGGGCAUGUCGGAUCCGAUGAUGAAUAAUAAUAUCGUUAAUAGCGGUGCGUUACAGGGU